This is a small nuclear RNA of Moschus moschiferus (Siberian musk deer), 68 nucleotides long. Its record names the gene U1. It matches the Rfam family "U1 spliceosomal RNA". From Rfam's summary of the family: U1 is a small nuclear RNA (snRNA) component of the spliceosome (involved in pre-mRNA splicing). Its 5' end forms complementary base pairs with the 5' splice junction, thus defining the 5' donor site of an intron. Lineage: Eukaryota; Metazoa; Chordata; Mammalia; Artiodactyla; Moschidae. The record is from Ensembl.
AUACUUACCUGGCAGGGGAGAUACCAUGAUCACGAAGGUGGUUUUCCCAGGGCGAGGCUUAUCCAUUG